GAUGAACGCUGGCGGUAUGCUUUACACAUGCAAGUCGUACGAGAGUUUUUAACUCUAGUGGCGGACGGGUGAGUAACACGUAAGAAUUUGCCUUUAGGAGGGGGAUAACAACUGGAAACGGUUGCUAAUACCCCAUAUGCUUUCGAGUGAAACGGAUUUCCGCCUAAAGAGAAGCUUGCGGCUGAUUAGCUUGUUGGUGAGGUAAUGGCUUACCAAGGCGACGAUCAGUAUCUGGUUUGAGAGGACGAUCAGACACACUGGAACUGAGACACGGUCCAGACUCCUACGGGAGGCAGCAGUGGGGAAUUUUCCGCAAUGGGCGAAAGCCUGACGGAGCAAUACCGCGUGAGGGAUGACGGCCUAUGGGUUGUAAACCUCUUUUUUCAGGGAGGAAUCAAUGACGUGUACCUGAAGAAUAAGCAUCGGCUAACUCCGUGCCAGCAGCCGCGGUAAGACGGAGGAUGCAAGUGUUAUCCGGAAUCACUGGGCGUAAAGCGUCUGUAGGUGGUUUAAUAAGUCAACUGUUAAAUCUUGAGGCUCAACCUCAAAAUCGCAGUCGAAACUAUUAGACUAGAGUAUAGUAGGGGUAAAGGGAAUUUCCAGUGGAGCGGUGAAAUGCGUAGAGAUUGGAAAGAACACCAAUGGCGAAGGCACUUUACUGGGCUAUAACUGACACUCAGAGACGAAAGCUAGGGUAGCAAAUGGGAUUAGAUACCCCAGUAGUCCUAGCUGUAAACAAUGGAUACUAGAUGUUGAACAGAUCGACCUGCGCAGUAUUAAAGCUAACGCGUUAAGUAUCC
RNAcentral lists this ribosomal RNA (800 nucleotides) under uncultured cyanobacterium. Its description in RNAcentral is "bacterial SSU rRNA". It matches the Rfam family "Bacterial small subunit ribosomal RNA", at positions 28 to 869 of the family's 1533-position model. The record is from RNAcentral. Lineage: Bacteria; Bacillati; Cyanobacteriota.